Molecule: small RNA, 354 nt
Filed under: Pan troglodytes (chimpanzee)
Lineage: Eukaryota; Metazoa; Chordata; Mammalia; Primates; Hominidae
Description: processed transcript
Source: RNAcentral
ACGAUGACUCUGGAGUCCAUGAUGGCGUGUUGCCUGAGCGAUGAGGUGAAGGAGUCCAAGCGGAUCAACGCCGAGAUCGAGAAGCAGCUGCGGCGGGACAAGCGCGACGCCCGGCGCGAGCUCAAGCUGCUGCUGCUCGGCCAAUGCGCUCCUGAUCCGGGAGGUGGACGUGGAGAAGGUGACCACCUUCGAGCAUCAGUACGUCAGUGCCAUCAAGACCCUGUGGGAGGACCCGGGCAUCCAGGAAUGCUACGACCGCAGGCGCGAGUACCAGCUCUCCGACUCCGCCAAGUACUACCUGACCGACGUUGACCGCAUCGCCACCUUGGGCUACCUGCCCACCCAGCAGGACGU